Molecule: ribosomal RNA, 492 nt
Filed under: uncultured bacterium
Lineage: Bacteria
Description: partial 16S ribosomal RNA
Rfam family: Bacterial small subunit ribosomal RNA
Source: RNAcentral
AGUGAACGCUGGCGGUAGGCCUAACACAUGCAAGUCGAACGGCAGCACAGUAAGAGCUUGCUCUUACGGGUGGCGAGUGGCGGACGGGUGAGGAAUACAUCGGAAUCUACUUUUUCGUGGGGGAUAACGUAGGGAAACUUACGCUAAUACCGCAUACGACCUACGGGUGAAAGCAGGGGAUCUUCUGACCUUGCGCGAUUGAAUGAGCCGAUGCCGGAUUAGCUAGUUGGCGGGGUAAAGGCCCACCAAGGCGACGAUCCGUAGCUGGUCGGAGAGGAUGGUCGGCGACCCUGGAACUGGGACACGGUCCAGGCGCCUGCGGGAGGCAGCAGUGGGGAAUAUUGGACAAUAGGCGCAAGCCUGGUACAGUCAUACCGAGUGGGUGAAGAAGGCCUUCGGGUUGUAAAGCCCUUUUGUUGGGAAAGAAAAGCAGCAGGUUAAUACCCCGCUGUUCUGACGGUACCCAAAGAAUAAGCACCGGCUAACUUCGUG